UCGGGAAUGGCUGUGCAUGAUGAUUGCAAGUUGAAGUUCUUGGAGCUCAAGGCAAAAAGAACCCACCGCUUCAUUGUUUUCAAAAUUGAGGAGAAGCAAAAGCAAGUUAUUGUGGAGAAGCUUGGUGAACCAACCGAAAGCUAUGAGGAUUUUACUAAAUGUCUCCCCGCUGAUGAAUGUCGAUAUGCUGUGUACGAUUUUGAUUUUCUAACGGCCGAGAACGUACCGAAGAGCAGAAUCUUUUUCAUAGCAUGGUACUGCAAAGUUUCUUAAUCGUGGUGUUCCAUUGUUUCCUUUUAUUACUUACUAUAUGUUGUUGUCGUCCUUUGAAGGUCUCCCGACACGUCAAGGAUCAGGAGCAAGAUGAUUUACGCCAGCUCCAAAGAUAGAUUCAAGCGAGAACUGGAUGGAAUUCAGGUGGAAUUGCAAGCAACAGAUCCAACUGAGAUGGGUCUUGAUGUGUUCAAAAGCCGUGCUAACUGAAUACGGUUCUUUUAGGCAUUUGCAACCGGGAAGCUUCCUUCCUUCCUACAGUAUGUCUUUACUUAAGUGAAAUGUUUAUAGGUUUCGAAACGGCAAACUCGGGAUUUCCAGAGUUAUGCCAUAAGACUUUUAUCAGUCUUGAUGAUGAUAAACCCGUAGUUUCGGGUAUAUGUGAUUUGUUAUCUAUAGAACCUAUGUAUUGAGUGCCUUUGUGUAGUCUUAAUCUCUUUCAACGCUAAAUGCAACUGUUUGUGAGGGUUAGACAACACAUUUAGUUCGUUUUCAAGUUUUUUUUUUCUUUAAUUUUCUUUGAAUAUUGACCCUUGUUUAUUUGUUUCAGUGUGUUAAAAAGGGCAUGCUUUUAUGUCUUUCGAGUCACUGAUUCUUUUUGCCAUUAUUUAUGACACUGGAUUCGAUUGCAAAUUUAUUUGUACAAUAUCUUUUGCUGGUUGAUAUUUUUUUGCUUGAUUCAGACUUGUUUAUGUUUUGUUUUGUUCAUUUAGCUUCAAAAAGUUAAAAUAUAUCAUUAAAUUAUUUAAAAAUUUUUAUUUAAGUUAUAAAAUUAUCAUCAGAUUAUUCAAAGAGUUGUUUUUAUUUUCAUUGUUAGUACCAAGUGAAAAUGAACUCUUUUUUGUUUUUUGUUUUAGUUUAAUUUAUUUUAUAAAAUAUUUUUGGAUGUAACGAAUUUAUAAAUUAAAAUUUAACAGAUUUAUAAAAUAUUUUGUAAUGAAUUUGUGAAUCAAAUUUUAAAUUAAUUUGAAAAAAAAAAUUGUAUAUCCUAAUGUGUUAAAUAAAUUAUUUUGAAUAAUUUAAUAAUUAUAAUGAAUUUUUUUUAAUCUAAGUAUUGGAUUUGGAUGCCAACUUUGAAUGUUAAUAAUGAUGCUUUGUCAUGUUCUUAACUAAUGGGCUUCGCUUGCUUUCCCGGCUAGGCUCAUCACAAUAUAACAUUCCGUUGUCAUGUCAAAAUGUUUAACUGUAAUUAGAAAUCAUUAAUAUCAUAUUAAAUAGGAUAUUAAAAUUUUAAAAAUGAUUAAAUUAUUUAUGAGUUGAUAUCGAGUUAAUUUGUAACAUCAAUUUAAUGUAAAAAUUAAUUAAAUUAUUUAUGAAUUUUGCAAUUAAGUCUACUUUAAUACUUAAGCUUGAAAAUUAAGUCUAUUUUAAUUCAUAAAUUUUUAGAAAAUAUAAAAGUUCGAUGAUCUGUACUUUGAUAAUAUGUCACUUCAUUAGAUCUAACUUAAAAAGUGAUAAUGUAAUACAAUACUAAAUUACCAUACCAAAUCAUCGAACAUUGACAUUUUCUGAAAAUUUUGGUCCGAAAUGAAUUUAUUUACCAAAGUUCAUGGGUCAAAACUAUAUUAACCCUUUAAAAAAGUUAAAAUUAGAUUAAAAAACUAGAAUUUGUAAAAUUCAGCCGAGUCAAACGAAGCCGCCAACGAGUGAAGUUAUCUAUUAGCCGAGUCCAUAAAAUACAGCGCGGCUUAAUCAUGACCACGACACCAAAAGCUGUGCCCUCUAGAACAGAACACGACGUGGCAACACAAUAUUAGGUGAAGAAAUGUUUCGUACGAUAACCUAAUGUACAAAUACAAACACCCUAUCAAUUCUCAACUCAACUGGGGCAAGUUUUCACCGAAAUAAAAGGACCUUUGUCCCUCCCCACCGUUUUCAACCCUCGUCAUCGGAAGAGCUUUCCUUUUUUUCUCUCUAUAUUUUCUCAUCUCCUUUUCCACCGCCGUCGAUCUCGAUCCUUAUCCCCGUUUUCAAAAAAGCUCCAAAAAGAUGGUAAUGUUUCAGCUGCCUUUUUUUUAAAAAAAAGUUUAAAAUUAAUAGUUUAUCCUUGAAUUAGAUUGUAUUUCUGAUAUUUUUGUGUAAUUUCUUAGCAAUCCGACUGGAUCGUCUUUUUAUUUUUGUUGAUUUUUAAGUUUUAAAUUAAUAGUUUAAGCUUGAAUUUAAUCCUAUUUCUGAUUUUUAGUGUAAUUUCUUAGCAAUCCGAUUGGAUCUUUUUUUUUCGUUUAUUCUUGAAUUUAGUCGAUUUUCUGAUAUUUUUGAGUGAUUUCUUAGUAAUCCGACUGGAUCCUUACUUUUAAGUUUAAAAUUAAUAGUUUAUCCUUUAAUUGAAUCGUAGUUCUGGUAUUUUUGUCUAAUUUCUUAGCAAUUCGACUGGAUCGUCUCUUUUCUUGUUGAUUUUUUUUUGUCGUUUUAAAUUAAUAGUGUAUCCUAGAAUUAAAUCAUAUAUCUCUGGUUUUUUGUGUAACUUCUUAGCAAUUCGACCGGAUCGGCUCUUUUCCUGUUGAUUUUUUUUGUAGUUUUAAAUUAAUAGUUUAUCCUAGAAUUAAAUCAUAUCUCUGGUAUCUUUGUGUAAAUUCUUAGUAAUCCAACUAGAUCCUCUUCUUUUUUUUGUUGAUUUUUCUUUUUUAAUUUUGUGUUUGAUCGUUUAAUUGAUCUCUGCAUCGAUGCUUGAAAAUCCCCGGAAAUUUUUCAGUGUCUGGAUCUUAGGAUUUUAAAUGUGUAGUUAAUGAUUUGAUUUUAUUUCUAUGAAAUUAUAUGUACUAAUUUGUGCUGAAAAUGGAAUCAUUACUGUUCUAGCCUCUAGUCUAUUUAGCUGCUUGAUUCUACUGAAUUUGCUGUUAAUCUAAAUACGUAUCGGUUUCUAUUUUAUGAAUACUCUAUUUUUAGCUGUUUUUCUUUGACACUGACUUUUUUUUUUUUAACUUGUUUAAUAUAUUAAUCUCAAUCUGUCUGCGCUUGUACUUUGGAUCCUUGUAUUUUUGUUGUUAUUAUUAUUUUCUUAUUUUUACUGAAGCCAAAGAAAAUCUUAUUUUAUAUAUCCAAACAUAAUAUAAUGAUUUUAUGAUCGUAAGCAAUAAACACACCCCAUUGUGAAGCUCAACUAGCUGAUUUAGGAUGUUCUAAAGGCAAUGUAAGAUGAGCUCUGCUUCAUCCUAAAGAUGCUGACACAUGAUGUUAUACCAGCAUAGGGGGCCAUUGAAAGAGAUCAAGUUAGAAUCUAGUUUAAAGGGUAUUUAAGUGCGGCUUUUGUUUUCUUUAUUUAUUGUUCAUUUUGUUAGGAUCAAAUCAUGGAGAUAUAGAGUAUUGGAAUAGUUGAUUUUUUUUCUUCAUUUAUUGUUCCUUUGUGUGCUAUUGAUGUUAUUAAACAUUGGGACUGCUUUUGAUAUUUGUUUUCUCAUGUGGUAUUAUUUUAUAUCCCAGGCCAAUGCUGCAUCGGGAAUGGCUGUGCAUGAUGAUUGCAAGUUGAAGUUCUUGGAACUUAAGGCAAAAAGAACCCACCGCUUUAUUGUUUUCAAAAUCGAGGAGAAGCAGAAGCAAGUUAUUGUGGAGAAGCUUGGUGAGCCAACCGAGAGCUAUGAGGAUUUUACUAAAUGUCUUCCCGCUGAUGAAUGUCGUUAUGCUGUGUACGAUUUUGAUUUUCUAACGGCCGAGAACGUCCCAAAGAGCAGAAUCUU
Molecule: long non-coding RNA, 3947 nt
Filed under: Gossypium barbadense (sea-island cotton)
Lineage: Eukaryota; Viridiplantae; Streptophyta; Magnoliopsida; Malvales; Malvaceae
Description: long non-coding RNA (GBAR_LNC001012)
Source: RNAcentral